RNAcentral lists this ribosomal RNA (253 nucleotides) under uncultured bacterium. RNAcentral describes it as "partial 16S ribosomal RNA". It matches the Rfam family "Bacterial small subunit ribosomal RNA", at positions 524 to 776 of the family's 1533-position model. The record is from RNAcentral.
GACAGGGGAUGCAAGCGUUAUCCGGAAUGAUUGGGCGUAAAGCGUCUGUAGGUGGCUUAAAAAGUCUCCUGUCAAAGAUCAGGGCUUAACCCUCGGCCGGCAGGAGAAACUCUUAGGCUAGAGUUUGGUAGGGGCAGAGGGAAUUCCCGGUGGAGCGGUGAAAUGCGUAGAGAUCCGGAGGAACACCAGCGGCGAAGGCGGCAUCCUGGACCGGUAUUGACGCUGAGGCGCGAAAGCUAGGGGAGCAAACGGG